CUCAAUGAUGAUGCAAAUUUGCGAUUGAUUUCAGUCGAUGGCUCUCUUUCGCCGGAGUGGCUAUAUCGGCUGAAUACAUGAUAUUCAAUUCUUACAUAUUCUGAUA
Molecule: small nucleolar RNA, 106 nt
Organism: Verticillium longisporum
Lineage: Eukaryota; Fungi; Ascomycota; Sordariomycetes; Glomerellales; Plectosphaerellaceae
Rfam family: A. fumigatus snoRNA Afu_514
Source: Rfam